Molecule: long non-coding RNA, 327 nt
Filed under: Lathyrus oleraceus (garden pea)
Lineage: Eukaryota; Viridiplantae; Streptophyta; Magnoliopsida; Fabales; Fabaceae
Description: Pisum sativum (pea) long non-coding RNA (PSAT_LNC004840)
Source: RNAcentral
AAGUGUCCUACGCUUCCUUCUUUGCAAGCAUUUCUUGGUUGCUUUAAGCUUAACUUAAGAAUAAGAACAAAUAAACAAAAAAUGUUGGUAUACCAAAUUCAUCGUAACACACACUUAAAUCUCGCAAAAGAUUCAUGCAAUCAACAAAACAAUUUAACCAACCGAAUUUUAUGGUGAAACUAGAGCCACCAAAAGUACAAUCAUAAUUAAACAAAAACAAUAAUAAUAAAAAAAAACUCAAAAAAAAAGUCUACUACAGUUCAAAUAAACUCUUCAAUCUUCCUCAUCGUGGCCACCACCAACGGAUCCAAGGACAUCCUCCAUCUC